AAACGAUGCCAACCAGUAAUCCGUCUGAGUUCCUUAAAUGACUCGACGGGCGACUUCCGGGAAACCAAAGUUUUUAGGUUCCAGGGGAAGUAUGUUUGCAAAGAUGAAACUUAAAGAAAUUGACGGAAGGGCACCACCAGGAGUGGAGCCUGCGGCUUAAUUUGACUCAACACGGGAAAACUCACCCGGCCCGGACACUGGAAGGAUUGACAGAUUGAGAGCUCUUUCUUGAUUCAGUGGGUGGUGGUGCAUGGCCGUUCUUAGUUGGUGGAGCGAUUUGUCUGGUUAAUUCCGAUAACGAACGAGACUCUAGCCUACUAAAUAGAUCGUCGGCUUACAAACGCUGAUGAGACUUCUUAGAGGGACAGGCGGCGAUUCAGCCGCACGAAACAGAGCAAUAACAGGUCUGUGAUGCCCUUAGAUGUCCGGGGCCGCACGCGCGCUACACUGAAGUGAUCAGCGUGCAUUUUCAGCCUACUCUGCCAAGAGUGGGAAACCCAAUGAACCUUCUUCGUGAUUGGGAUAGGAGAUUGUAAUUAUUCUCCUUGAACGAGGAAUUCCCAGUAAGCGCGAGUCAUAAGCUCGCGUUGAUUACGUCCCUGCCCUUUGUACACACCGCCCGUCGCUACUACCGAUUGAAUGUUUUAGUGAGGUCUUCAGACUGGCCGGCGCAGCUGCUCUCGUAGUAGCAGCGCUGUGUUUGGGAAGAUGCCCAAACUUG
Molecule: ribosomal RNA, 721 nt
Filed under: uncultured eukaryote
Lineage: Eukaryota
Description: SSU rRNA
Rfam family: Eukaryotic small subunit ribosomal RNA
Source: RNAcentral